This 483-nucleotide ribosomal RNA is filed under the name uncultured bacterium. RNAcentral's name for it is "partial 16S ribosomal RNA". It matches the Rfam family "Bacterial small subunit ribosomal RNA", at positions 28 to 523 of the family's 1533-position model. The record is from RNAcentral.
GACGAACGCUGGCGGCGUGCUUAACACAUGCAAGUCGAACGAUGAAGCCGGAGCUUGCUCCGGUGGAUUAGUGGCGAACGGGUGAGUAACACGUGAGCAAUCUGCCCUUGACUCUGGGAUAACUGCGGGAAACUGUAGCUAAUACCGGAUACGACACCUUGGGGCAUCCCAGGGUGUGGAAAGAAUUUCGGUCAAGGAUGAGCUCGCGGCCUAUCAGCUAGUUGGUGAGGUAAUGGCUCACCAAGGCGACGACGGGUAGCCGGCCUGAGAGGGUGACCAGCCACACUGGAACUGAGACACGGUCCAGACUCCUACGGGAGGCAGCAGUGGGGAAUAUUGCACAAUGGGCGAAAGCCUGAUGCAGCAACGCCGCGUGAGGGAUGAAGACCUUCGGGUUGUAAACCUCUUUUAGCAGGGAAGAAGCGAAAGUGACGGUACCUGCAGAAAAAGCACCGGCUAACUACGUGCCAGCCGCCGCAGUAA